GACGAACGCUGGCGGCGUGCUUAACACAUGCAAGUCGAACGAUGAAGCUGGAGCUUGCUCCGGUGGAUUAGUGGCGAACGGGUGAGUAACACGUGAGCAAUCUGCCCUUGACUCUGGGAUAACUGCGGGAAACUGUAGCUAAUACCGGAUACUUUCACUGGAAGGCAUCUUCUGGUGAAGAAAGAAUUUCGGUCAAGGAUGAGCUCGCGGCCUAUCAGCUUGUUGGUGAGGUAACGACUCACCAAGGCGACGACGGGUAGCCGGCCUGAGAGGGUGACCGGCCACACUAGGACACAGACACGGCCCAGACUCCUACGGGGGGCAGCAGUGGGGAAUAUUGCACAAUGGGCGAAAGCCUGAUGCAGCAACGCCGCGUGAGGGAUGAAGGCCUUCGGGUUGUAAACCUCUUUUAGCAGGGAAGAAGCGAAAGUGACGGUACCUGCAGAAAAAGCACCGGCUAACUACGUGCCAGCCGCCGCCGUAA
RNAcentral lists this ribosomal RNA (484 nucleotides) under uncultured bacterium. Its description in RNAcentral is "partial 16S ribosomal RNA". It matches the Rfam family "Bacterial small subunit ribosomal RNA", at positions 28 to 523 of the family's 1533-position model. The record is from RNAcentral.